UACGAAGGGGGCUAGCGUUGCUCGGAAUUACUGGGCGUAAAGGGCGCGUAGGCGGCACUGUUAGUCAGGCGUGAAAUUCCUGGGCUCAACCUGGGGACUGCGCUUGAUACGGCAGAGCUUGAGGAUGGAAGAGGGUCGCGGAAUUCCCAGUGUAGAGGUGAAAUUCGUAGAUAUUGGGAAGAGCACCGGUGGCGAAGGCGGCGACCUGGUCCAUUACUGACGCUGAGGCGCGACAGCGUGGGGAGCAAACAGG
Molecule: ribosomal RNA, 253 nt
Filed under: uncultured bacterium
Lineage: Bacteria
Description: partial 16S ribosomal RNA
Rfam family: Bacterial small subunit ribosomal RNA
Source: RNAcentral